CUUAUCGAGACAGGGUAGAGAGGGAAUCCGGUGUAAGGCCGGAGCAGUGCCCGCUACUGUAUUUGCCUUCUUAGUGCAGCGCAACAAACGUCACUGGGACAACUUCCUGGGAAGACGCGCUGCCGGGCAAGAGCCAGGAAACCUGCCAUUUC
This 152-nucleotide non-coding RNA is filed under the name bovine gut metagenome. The record is from RNAcentral.